UACGGAGGGUGCAAGCGUUACUCGGAAUUACUGGGCGUAAAGCGUGCGCAGGCGGUUUGUUAAGUCUGUUGUGAAAUCCCCGAGCUCAACUUGGGAAUUGCAAUGGAUACUGGCAGGCUGGAGUAUGGUAGAGGAAGGUGGAAUUCCCGGUGUAGCAGUGAAAUGCGUAGAGAUCGGGAGGAACACCAGUGGCGAAGGCGGCCUUCUGGACCAAUACUGACGCUCAUGCACGAAAGCGUGGGGAGCAAACAGG
Molecule: ribosomal RNA, 253 nt
Filed under: uncultured bacterium
Lineage: Bacteria
Description: partial 16S ribosomal RNA
Rfam family: Bacterial small subunit ribosomal RNA
Source: RNAcentral